Arabidopsis thaliana (thale cress) is the source of this 310-nucleotide long non-coding RNA. RefSeq annotates it as other RNA. The record is from RefSeq. Lineage: Eukaryota; Viridiplantae; Streptophyta; Magnoliopsida; Brassicales; Brassicaceae. The transcript has a single exon.
AGUUGCUUGUAAGUUUGGUUAUAGUCUUAGGGUGAUGAUGCCUAGAAGUAUGGUCUAGGUCUAAGUAGAAGCAUGGUGCAAGUGUCUGUACUAAGUAGAAGUAACUUGUAUAAGUAUAUGUUGUGUGUCUUGUAAGAAGUAUCUGGUGAUCCAAGUUUAUUAUCAAUGUAGUCUUUCAAAAAGAAAAACGUGUUCGUGUGUUUGUCUCUAAACAAGAACAAAACAGAGUGCAACAAAGAGAGAAACUAAAGAGAUAGAGUGAAAACAGAGAAUCAUAACAAAAACUCUAUAGAAACCGAAACCCUUGCUC